Molecule: ribosomal RNA, 493 nt
Filed under: uncultured bacterium
Lineage: Bacteria
Description: partial 16S ribosomal RNA
Rfam family: Bacterial small subunit ribosomal RNA
Source: RNAcentral
GACGAACGCUGGCGGCGUGCUUAACACAUGCAAGUCGAACGGAAAGGCCUGCUUUCCCUUGUGGAUUGCGGUACUCGAGUGGCGAACGGGUGAGUAACACGUGAGUUAUCUGCCCCCAACUUGGGUAUAAGCCUGGGAAACUGGGUCUAAUUCCCGAUAGGACUGCAGGGUGGUGCCUGUGGUGGAAAACGAUUUUCUAGUGGUUGGGGAUGAGCUCGCGGCCUAUCAGCUUGUUGGUGGGGUAAUGGCCUACCAAGGCGGCGACGGGUAGCCGGCCUGAGAGGGUGGACGGCCACAUUGGGACUGAGAUACGGCCCAGACUCCUACGGGAGGCAGCAGUGGGGAAUAUUGCACAAUGGGCGGAAGCCUGAUGCAGCGACGCCGCGUGGGGGAUGACGGCCUUCGGGUUGUAAACUCCUUUCGACCGCGAGGAAGCCACCUGGUUGGAAGGGUGGUGACGGUAGUGGUAGAAGAAGCACCGGCUAACUACGUG